GACGAACGCUGGCGGCGUGCUUAACACAUGCAAGUCGAACGGCAAGGCCCUGCUUUUGUGGGGUGCUCGAGUGGCGAACGUGUGAGUAACACGUGAGUAACCUGCCCUUGACUUUGGGAUAACUUCAGGAAACUGUGGCUAAUACCGGAUAGGAGCUCCUGCUGCAUGGUGGGGUUUGGACAGUUUCGGCGGUUGGGGAUAGACUCGCGGCUUAUCAGCUUGUGGGUGGGGUAGUGGCUUACCAAGGCUUUGACGGGUAGCCGGCCUGAGCGGGUGACCGGCGACAUUGGGACUGAGAUACGGAGCAGAGUGCUACGGGAGGCAGCAGUGGGGAAUAUUGCACAAUGAGCGGAAGCCUGAUGCAGAAACGCCGCGUGCGGGAUGAAGGCCUGCGGGGUGUAAACAGCUUUGGGCUGUGACGAAGCGUGAGUGACGGUAACGGGUAAAGAAGCACCGGCUAACUACGUG
Molecule: ribosomal RNA, 468 nt
Filed under: uncultured bacterium
Lineage: Bacteria
Description: partial 16S ribosomal RNA
Rfam family: Bacterial small subunit ribosomal RNA
Source: RNAcentral